UACGGAGGGUGCAAGCGUUAUCCGGAUUCACUGGGUUUAAAGGGUGCGUAGGCGGGCAUUUAAGUCAGUGGUGAAAUACCUGAGCUUAACUUGGGAACUGCCAUUGAUACUAUUUGUCUUGAAUGUCGUGGAGGUUAGCGGAAUAUGUCAUGUAGCGGUGAAAUGCUUAGAUAUGACAUAGAACACCUAUUGCGAAGGCAGCUAACUACGCGAAUAUUGACGCUGAGGCGCGAAAGCGUGGGGAGCAAACAGG
Molecule: ribosomal RNA, 253 nt
Filed under: uncultured bacterium
Lineage: Bacteria
Description: partial 16S ribosomal RNA
Rfam family: Bacterial small subunit ribosomal RNA
Source: RNAcentral